CAAUAGCGUAUAUUAAAGUUGUUGCGGUUAAAACGCUCGUAGUUGGAUUUCUGUUGAGGGCAGCCGGUCCGCACUUCGUGCGUGUAUCUGGUUUGACCUCGGCAUCCUCUCAAAAUACGUUUCUGCGCUUGAUUGCGUGGAGCGGAGUUUGAGACUUUUACUUUGAGGAAAUUAGAGUGUUCACGGCAGGCAAUCGCCUUGAAUAUAUUAGCAUGGAAUAAUAAUAUAGGAUCUUGGUUCUAUUUUGUUGGUUUCUAGAGCUAAGAUAAUGAUUAAUAGGGACAAUUGGGGGCAUUCGUAUUAACGCGUCAGAGGUGGAAUUCUCGGAUUGCGUUACGACGAACUACUGCGAAAGCAUUUGCCAAGGAUGUUUUCAUUGA
Molecule: ribosomal RNA, 380 nt
Filed under: uncultured eukaryote
Lineage: Eukaryota
Description: partial 18S ribosomal RNA
Rfam family: Eukaryotic small subunit ribosomal RNA
Source: RNAcentral